This is a long non-coding RNA of Pipistrellus kuhlii (Kuhl's pipistrelle), 571 nucleotides long. RefSeq lists it as uncharacterized. NCBI's taxonomy places the organism in Eukaryota, Metazoa, Chordata, Mammalia, Chiroptera, Vespertilionidae. The record is from RefSeq and is a predicted model, not a curated record. The transcript has 4 exons.
GCCCGUGGCGCCGGGGCCGUGGAAGGUCCAGUCGCGGCUGACGGCGGGCGGCAGGCGCGCGGGCCGCAUCUUGCGGCGGUCGUGGAUGAAGAGGAGCAGGCGCAGGUAGACCAGCUCCAGCAUUCCACUGUUCCUGUGACUCCCAAGGAGCCUGAUAGGAGCAGAAGACAGAAGACCACUUGUUACUAGGCAACCAGCACCCACCUCACCCAUGUUGCCAUGGUGAUGAUGAAAGUUGGGCUGAUCAAAUUACCAGCUAAUUGCACAUGAGAGCUCAAGGAGCUGCGUGGUCACCUUCUCUUCCUCUCUCCUGCCAUCCAAGUCUUCUGACUGCCUGUUACUCGAAGCACAUUGGCCUGGACCGCAAGCUGCCGCGCUUUAGUCCUCCUCUGUCAUUUCCGAGAGUGGUGGCCUCAGGGGGAAGACAAGAGGAAUUUUCCCAAUUUGUUAUCUUCUAAGGAUGAUUCCAAGAGCAGUGUUUCAAACCGGAAGGGAAUGGAAGUUAUUCUCAUUGCUCUCUCCUUGCUUCUUACCUUAGUGACAUUACCUGACCGCUCAGUAAUCUAAAAGU